Small nucleolar RNA from Rattus norvegicus (Norway rat), 136 nucleotides. Ensembl annotates it as small nucleolar RNA SNORA70. NCBI's taxonomy places the organism in Eukaryota, Metazoa, Chordata, Mammalia, Rodentia, Muridae. The record is from Ensembl.
CUGAGGCCAAUUAAACCAACUGCAUUUCUUUCCUCUCGGGGAUCUAGAGUGAAAGGGGUGCAAACAGCUGCCUCUUUUGGGACUGUGUGCAGCUUAGCACCUCUGUGGGUUGCCCUGAGGGAACUGGGUGACAGUU